GACGAACGCUGGCGGCGUGCCUAAUACAUGCGAGUAGAACGCACAGUUUAUACCGUAGCUUGCUACACCAUAGACUGUGAGUUGCGAACGGGUGAGUAACGCGUAGGUAACCUGCCUGGUAGCGGGGGAUAACUAUUGGAAACGAUAGCUAAUACCGCAUAAUAUUGAUUAUUGCAUGAUAAUUGAUUGAAAGAUGCUAUUGCAUCACUACCAGAUGGACCUGCGUUGUAUUAGCUAGUAGGUGAGGUAACGGCUCACCUAGGCGACGAUACAUAGCCGACCUGAGAGGGUGAUCGGCCACACUGGGACUGAGACACGGCCCAGACUCCUACGGGAGGCAGCAGUAGGGAAUCUUCGGCAAUGGACGAAAGUCUGACCGAGCAACGCCGCGUGAGUGAAGAAGGUUUUCGGAUCGUAAAGCUCGGUUGUAAGAGAAGAACGGGUGUGAGAGUGGAAAGUUCACACUGUGACGGUAUCUUACCAGAAAGGGACGGCUAACUACGUG
Molecule: ribosomal RNA, 505 nt
Filed under: uncultured bacterium
Lineage: Bacteria
Description: partial 16S ribosomal RNA
Rfam family: Bacterial small subunit ribosomal RNA
Source: RNAcentral